AAUCGUCAAUGCGACGUCCUCCUACUCCCACCUCAGAGCUGUCACAGAGACUGUCAGUUCCGUCCCUCCCCUUCAGCCCUUUAACGCACGUCUUCCCGACCGCAUAACUUGCUCAGUCCCUGCGGCCAACUGGGGCGGGCCAAUGGCUGUGACGGAUAAGGGGUGUGGGGUGCGGGGACAAUGGGCCAGAGCUUCUCAUGCAGCCUGCACCAGCGCCGGGUCGGAGAGUCAGAGGCCACCCUGAGAUGGACCGAGAUCUUCAGUUGGGGAGGCGCCUCCGGUGAGCUUGCGGCCAGAUGCCCCCUCAGUAGUCCUCCGCAACAGGUGCCGCGCAGCCGAGUGGCGGGCUAGCAUACCGCCUGCCCGCAAUUCGGCCAGGCCUCGAGCCUGCUCCGCCUUCCCGCUGCGGUAGCGCCGCCGGGGAAACGCCGCCACGGGCUGCAUGGGCAGCGCUCGCGCCCCGCCGCUGAGCCGCCGGGGAGCCGUCCAGUCUUCGAAUCCCAGCUUGGUGGCAUGCAUGUUUAGUCCCAGCUACACAGCAGGGAGGCUGAGGCUGAAGGAAUACUUGAGCCCAGGAAUUCAAGACUAGCCUGCACAACAUAGUGAGACCCUGACUUUAAAAUAAAUUUAAAAAAAUUAAAAGCAA
This 646-nucleotide long non-coding RNA is filed under the name Homo sapiens (human). RNAcentral's name for it is "non-protein coding TTTY14:5". The record is from RNAcentral. Lineage: Eukaryota; Metazoa; Chordata; Mammalia; Primates; Hominidae.